AACAAAGCCUCUUUUGUGUUUAGUGUUGUUCAUGUGACAGAAUUACAGCAUAUUCUGUCAAAUCUGGUAUGAAUGUUUUGUACCAUUUCCAGUGGCCCUAUCAGAAUUCCCACUGGUAAGUGUCCCUUUCUUUCUCUGUCUCCUGAGUAGAGAACACAUAAGGCCCUAGAUGAGGGCAGGGCCACAAGGCGGAAUAAUUCUGGGAACUUGAAUGACUGUGUGGAAGAGAGUUUUACUUGCUUAUCUGUAUUCGGCUAUAGUCUGAGUAAGAAACAAAUUUGUUUGUAUUUUACCAUGGAAAAUUUGACUGUAGAGCAAUUAGUUUUUCUCACUGAAACAUUAGACAGGUUUGCUUCUAGUUUGAAAUUCUGUGAUUUGUCAAAAAUCUUUAAGAGUGAGGUUAGAAAAAAAGGAAAAAGAUCCAAAAUUUGUGUCUUUGCCUCUCUAGUUAUUCUCUCUGUGGUAACUGGAGCCCUUUGAGUAAAGGGAGCAGGAGAACACAGUGGAAGUUAUGGGUCGUAACAUCCCUGGCGGGCUCACGAAAGAUACUGAAGCUUCUACCUUUAUCUCUGACACUUGCUCUGGGGGAAGCUGUUCACCACUGUCAUGAGGACACUCAAGCCCCAGUGAGAGGCCACUCACUAGGAGCUGUCAGAAGCGACUUGCUAGUCAGGUAGCCAUGUGAAUGAGUGGAUUUCACCACCUCAUCAAUCCUCACAUAAACUCAGUCCCCCUCAGUGCUUGAGUACAGCUUCACAAGAUCCCCUCACUGCUUCAGAAUUCAUCCCCACAGAAACAGUGAGACAAAAUGCAUGCUCAUUGUUGUUCAAGUUACAAAGUUUUGAAGUGAUUUACAAAAUAGCAGUAGAUAGCUGAUGUACAAGUCAUGAUGGGAGACAUUUUUACUAAAUAUUUCCACAGUAUAGCCUGGAGCUUUAUUGUCUCGUAACCUUUGAUUUUCAUUUUUUCACCUCAUCAUUUGACUGUUAAACAGAGUCACAGAUUUUAUGGUUUUGUUAUAACCACACCUAACCUCAGUAUACCAAUUUUUGUACAUAGAUAGGAUAAUGCUAGAUUGUAUGACAGGAUACAUUUUGAGAGCUUAGUGGAUUAAUACAAUAAACUUUGUUUUUUAAUGUAAAAAAUGGUGUUAAGAAAUGUAAAAAGAUAUCAAAAGUCAAAACCCUCCUAAAUGUAGGUAACCUUUUACAAUAGUCAAAGUGGACAUCCAGAGAUAGUUAAAAAUUUGAAUAUAAUGUUUAUUUUUUGGUCCCGAGUUCGAUCCCCGGCACACACACAAAAAAACUUUAAUGGUUUAGUUAAAUGACAUCCAGUCCUCAAACAAUAUGUUCAAAUUUCAGUUCUCAUAGUAUACCAACUGUGC
This 1384-nucleotide long non-coding RNA is filed under the name Heterocephalus glaber (naked mole-rat). RNAcentral's name for it is "lncRNA (ENSHGLG00000051010.1)". The record is from RNAcentral. Lineage: Eukaryota; Metazoa; Chordata; Mammalia; Rodentia; Bathyergidae.